GAUGAACGCUGACAGAAUGCUUAACACAUGCAAGUCGAUGGGGAAGUGGUGCUUGCACCAUGGUAACCAUGGCGGACGGGUGAGUAACGCGUAAGGAACUUACCUGCGGGACCGGGAUAACAGCAGGAAACUGCUGACAAGACCGGAUAAGGUCAUUAAGCUGCAUAGCUUAGUGAUGAAAGGAGACGCCUGCGGAGAGCCUUGCGUCCUAUUAGCUAGUUGGAGGGGUAACGGCCCACCAAGGCGAAGAUAGGUAGCCGGCCUGAGAGGGUGGACGGCCACAAGGGGACUGAGAUACGGCCCUUACUCCUACGGGAGGCAGCAGUGGGGAAUAUUGGACAAUGGGGGCAACCCUGAUCCAGCAAUUCUGUGUGCACGAAGACGGUUUUCGGAGUGUAAAGUGCUUUCAGCAGGGAAGAAGGAAGUGACGGUACCUGCAGAAGAAGCGACGGCUAAAUACGUG
RNAcentral lists this ribosomal RNA (463 nucleotides) under uncultured bacterium. RNAcentral's name for it is "partial 16S ribosomal RNA". It matches the Rfam family "Bacterial small subunit ribosomal RNA", at positions 28 to 507 of the family's 1533-position model. The record is from RNAcentral.